AUCUGAAAGAGGAAAAAAAAAAGACCACGUAUGUGUCCCCAGGGCUAGUUCUUUCCCUAGGUCUGGUUUUACAAAUUCUGGUAAUAAAC
Small nucleolar RNA from Peromyscus eremicus (cactus mouse), 89 nucleotides. RefSeq annotates it as small nucleolar RNA SNORA72. Lineage: Eukaryota; Metazoa; Chordata; Mammalia; Rodentia; Cricetidae. The transcript has a single exon. The record is from RefSeq and is a predicted model, not a curated record.